GUCGAACGGCAGCACGGAGCUUGCUCUGGUGGCGAGUGGCGAACGGGUGAGUAAUAUAUCGGAACGUACCCUAGAGUGGGGGAUAACGUAGCGAAAGUUACGCUAAUACCGCAUACGAUCUAAGGAUGAAAGUGGGGGAUCGCAAGACCUCAUGCUCGUGGAGCGGCCGAUAUCUGAUUAGCUAGUUGGUAGGGUAAAAGCCUACCAAGGCAUCGAUCAGUAGCUGGUCUGAGAGGACGACCAGCCACACUGGAACUGAGACACGGUCCAGACUCCUACGGGAGGCAGCAGUGGGGAAUUUUGGACAAUGGGCGAAAGCCUGAUCCAGCAAUGCCGCGUGAGUGAAGAAGGCCUUCGGGUUGUAAAGCUCUUUUGUCAGGGAAGAAACGGUGAGAGCUAAUAUCUCUUGCUAAUGACGGUACCUGAAGAAUAAGCACCGGCUAACUACGUGCCAGCAGCCGCGGUAAUACGUAGGGUGCAAGCGUUAAUCGGAAUUACUGGGCGUAAAGCGUGCGCAGGCGGUUUUGUAAGUCUGAUGUGAAAUCCCCGGGCUCAACCUGGGAAUUGCAUUGGAGACUGCAAGGCUAGAAUCUGGCAGAGGGGGGUAGAAUUCCACGUGUAGCAGUGAAAUGCGUAGAUAUGUGGAGGAACACCGAUGGCGAAGGCAGCCCCCUGGGUCAAGAUUGACGCUCAUGCACGAAAGCGUGGGGAGCAAACAGGAUUAGAUACCCUGGUAGUCCACGCCCUAAACGAUGUCUACUAGUUGUCGGGUCUUAAUUGACUUGGUAACGCAGCUAACGCGUGAAGUAGACCGCCUGGGGAGUACGG
RNAcentral lists this ribosomal RNA (828 nucleotides) under Janthinobacterium sp. Its description in RNAcentral is "bacterial SSU rRNA". It matches the Rfam family "Bacterial small subunit ribosomal RNA", at positions 61 to 885 of the family's 1533-position model. The record is from RNAcentral. Lineage: Bacteria; Pseudomonadati; Pseudomonadota; Betaproteobacteria; Burkholderiales; Oxalobacteraceae.